RNAcentral lists this ribosomal RNA (479 nucleotides) under uncultured bacterium. Its description in RNAcentral is "partial 16S ribosomal RNA". It matches the Rfam family "Bacterial small subunit ribosomal RNA", at positions 28 to 523 of the family's 1533-position model. The record is from RNAcentral.
GACGAACGCUGGCGGCGUGCUUAACACAUGCAAGUCGAGCGAUGAAGCACCUUCGGGUGUGAAUUAGCGGCGAACGGGUGAGGAACACGUGAAGAAUCUGCCUUCAACUCUGGGAUAACUCCGGGAAACCGGGGCUAAUACCGGAUAUGAGCCUUGAUCGCAUGAUCGGGGCUGGAAAGUUUUUCGGUUGAAGAUGACUUCGCGGCCUAUCAGCUUGUUGGUGAGGUAAUGGCUCACCAAGGCGACGACGGGUAGCCGGCCUGAGAGGGCGACCGGCCACACUGGGACUGAGACACGGCCCAGACUCCUACGGGAGGCAGCAGUGGGGAAUAUUGCACAAUGGGCGCAAGCCUGAUGCAGCGACGCCGCGUGAGGGAUGAAGGUCUUCGGAUUGUAAACCUCUUUCAGUAGGGACGAAGCGAAAGUGACGGUACCUAAAGAAGAAGCACCGGCUAACUACGUGCCAGCAGCCGCCGUAA